CGAAACAAGCCAAGACCCAUUGAAGCGCAUUCUGAAUAUAGACAUUGACGAUUUGAACAAUAAUUUUGCUGAUGUGACGUUGCAGCUGCUGCAGCAUUUAGUUGGGGA
RNAcentral lists this non-coding RNA (108 nucleotides) under Ochromonas sp. CCMP1393. The record is from RNAcentral. Lineage: Eukaryota; Chrysophyceae; Chromulinales; Chromulinaceae.